GACGAACGCUGGCGGCGCGCCUAACACAUGCAAGUCGAACGGAGCUGAGAGAAGCUUGCUUUUCUUAGCUUAGUGGCGAACGGGUGAGUAACGCGUGAGUAACCUGCCCUGGAGUGGGGGACAACAGUUGGAAACGACUGCUAAUACCGCAUAAGCCCACGAUCCGGCAUCGGAUUGAGGGAAAAGGAUUUAUUCGCUUCAGGAUGGACUCGCGUCCAAUUAGCUAGUUGGUGAGGUAACGGCCCACCAAGGCGACGAUUGGUAGCCGGACUGAGAGGUUGAACGGCCACAUUGGGACUGAGACACGGCCCAGACUCUUACGGGAGGCAGCAGUGGGGGAUAUUGCACAAUGGGGGAAACCCUGAUGCAGCGACGCCGCGUGGAGGAAGAAGGUUUUCGGAUUGUAAACUCCUGUCGUUAGGGACGAUAAUGACGGUACCUAACAAGAAAGCACCGGCUAACUACGUG
Molecule: ribosomal RNA, 468 nt
Filed under: uncultured bacterium
Lineage: Bacteria
Description: partial 16S ribosomal RNA
Rfam family: Bacterial small subunit ribosomal RNA
Source: RNAcentral